Molecule: ribosomal RNA, 495 nt
Filed under: uncultured bacterium
Lineage: Bacteria
Description: partial 16S ribosomal RNA
Rfam family: Bacterial small subunit ribosomal RNA
Source: RNAcentral
GAUGAACGCUGGCGGCGUGCCUAAUACAUGCCAGUAGAACGCUGAAGGAGGAGCUUGCUCUUCUGGAUGAGUUGCGAACGGGUGAGUAACGCGUAGGUAACCUGCCUGGUAGCGGGGGAUAACUAUUGGAAACGAUAGCUAAUACCGCAUGACAACAGUUAUUGCAUGAUAACUGUUUAAAAGGGGCAACUGCUCCACUACCAGAUGGACCUGCGUUGUAUUAGCUAGUUGGUGAGGUAACGGCUCACCAAGGCGACGAUACAUAGCCGACCUGAGAGGGUGAUCGGCCACACUGGGACUGAGACACGGCCCAGACUCCUACGGGAGGCAGCAGUAGGGAAUCUUCGGCAAUGGACGGAAGUCUGACCGAGCAACGCCGCGUGAGUGAAGAAGGUUGUCGGAUCGGAAAGCUCUGUUGUAAGAGAAGAACGAGUGUGAGAGUGGAAAGUUCACACUGUGACGGUAUCUUACCAGAAAGGGACGGCUAACUACGUG